GCGAUCGCUGCGUCGCGCCGUCCCCUGCAUGAGGAUGAGGCCACUCGGGGCCACCAGUCCUUCCCCCGAUCGCGGCCUCAGAGUUUGCUGGGGAAGGUGCCAAGGUCUGCUGGGUGAAGGUCCGGCCAGAAGGAUUUCCCCUGAGGCUGGUUGUCAAGGGGCAGAGAGUGGCAUCAGAGCCACAGGCCAGAGCCAGUAGUGUUUCAGAGAUGAGCCUCUCCUGGACUUGGAAUGUGGAGUUUGUUUUGCGAGGAAGGGCUGAAUCAAAUGCCAUUGUGCCUUCACACCCCAUGUCCUUCAUCAAUUCGUGGCUGAUUGGCAUCUGGACUGCUUUUAUAUCUCAAUUGUUGUGGAUAGAACAGCAAUAAACAUGGAUGUGCCCGUGCUUCUGUGGAUCCAGCAUCCUGGAUUCCUUUGGUAUCCAGCAUCGAGAUACCUGGACCAUACGGUAGUUCUAUCUUUAGAUGUCAGAGGAAACUGGAGUGAUCUCCACAGUGGCUGCGUCCAUUCACGGUCCCAUCAGCGGUGAGCAGCAUCCCUUACUCUGCCGCCCAUGCUCACUGGCAUCUUUUGUCAGCCAUCUUCUUGGCGAUGGCCAUCCUGACUGGGGUGAGAUGGAAUCUCGAAGCAGCUUUAAUUUGCAUUUUCCCGGUGGAUGUUUAACUUCUAUCCCUUUCAAAUAUUUACGACCAUUCGUAUUUAA
This is a long non-coding RNA of Rattus rattus (black rat), 703 nucleotides long. RefSeq lists it as uncharacterized. The transcript has 3 exons. NCBI's taxonomy places the organism in Eukaryota, Metazoa, Chordata, Mammalia, Rodentia, Muridae. The record is from RefSeq and is a predicted model, not a curated record.